This 416-nucleotide long non-coding RNA is filed under the name Capsicum annuum. RNAcentral's name for it is "long non-coding RNA (CANN_LNC003466)". The record is from RNAcentral. Lineage: Eukaryota; Viridiplantae; Streptophyta; Magnoliopsida; Solanales; Solanaceae.
UUCGCUUUUAUCUCUCAAUCUGUUGAUAAACAUUGUGCUCCAUAGUAUUUGUAUAUCAUCUUUUCAUAUAAUUUAUAUUUUUUUAUUUAUCGUAUUGCUUUCUUUUUCGUUUUUUUUGUUUUGGUGUUUUACAGCCAAGGGAUGCCGUUUUUGGCGAUGGGUGGGCUGGUGGCUUCAAUUGGAUUCGUCGAUUUCGACGCUUUUCGAUGAAUUUUCAAUGGAGGGAGGGUUUAUCCGGCGGAUUUCACCGUGAAGGUUACCAAUAGCAACAAUAAUGGUGUUUUACCGGCGAGUAUUAGUCGAAACCGAUCACAGGGGUUGAAUUUUAAUCGGUGGUUCGCUGAUUUUGCAGAUCCGGUGAGGGACAAGCUUGACCAUCGUUUUUAUGAAUUUUUUGGUGAUGUGGUAGCGGCUGG